RNAcentral lists this ribosomal RNA (253 nucleotides) under uncultured bacterium. Its description in RNAcentral is "partial 16S ribosomal RNA". It matches the Rfam family "Bacterial small subunit ribosomal RNA", at positions 524 to 776 of the family's 1533-position model. The record is from RNAcentral.
GACGUAGGGGGCCAGCGUUGCUCGGAAUUACUGGGCGUAAAGGGUUCGUAGGCGGUGCGGCAAGUUGGGAGUGAAAUCUCUGGGCUUAACCCAGAGGCUGCUUCCAAAACUGCCGUGCUAGAGUGCGAGAGAGGCCAGUGGAAUUGCAGGUGUAGCGGUGAAAUGCGUAGAUAUCGGGAGGAACACCUGAGGCGAAGGCGGGCUACUGGGCCGAUACUGACGCUGAGGCGCGAAAGCCAGGGGAGCAAACGGG